GCGUUAGAUUAGCUAGUUGGUAGGGUAAAAGGCCUACCAAGGCGACGAUCUAUAGCUGGUCUGAGAGGACGAUCAGCCACACUGGGACUGAGACACGGCCCAGAUCCUACGGGAGGCAGCAGUGGGGAAUAUUGGACAAUGGGCGCAAGCCUGAUCCAGCAAUACCGCGUGUGUGAAGAAGGCCUUAGGGUGUAAAGCACUUUCAAUUGGGAGGAAAACCUGUCGGUCAAUACCCGGCAGCUUGACAUACCUUUAGAAGAAGCACCGGCUAACUCCGUGCCAGCAGCCGCGGUAAUACGGAGGGUGCAAGCGUUAAUCGGAAUUACUGGGCGUAAAGCGUGCGUAGGCGGUUCGUUAAGUCAGAUGUGAAAGCCCCGGGCUUAACCUGGGAACUGCAUUUGAAACUGGCGGACUUGAGUUGAGUAGAGGGGAGUGGAAUUCAGGUGUAGCGGUGAAAUGCGUAGAUAUCUGAAGGAACACCAGUGGCGAAG
Molecule: ribosomal RNA, 491 nt
Filed under: uncultured bacterium
Lineage: Bacteria
Description: bacterial SSU rRNA
Rfam family: Bacterial small subunit ribosomal RNA
Source: RNAcentral